Molecule: long non-coding RNA, 357 nt
Organism: Passer domesticus (house sparrow)
Lineage: Eukaryota; Metazoa; Chordata; Aves; Passeriformes; Passeridae
Exons: 3
Source: RefSeq, a predicted model, not a curated record
AGGAAGGUUUUCUGACACAAUUAUUAGCUGUGGCGUUCUUGACCAGGAACAGGCCGAAAUAGACAGGAAACAAAAAGAGGCUUAUGCUGUCUUAAAGGGUCAUGUGAAGAAUUUUCUGUUUUUAAAUCAUCUUUAAAGCAAGUGACCAUGGCACAGGAGGCUACUGGUUUCCUUGGAGCUUGGGGUUGAUUUGGGCCAGCAGGCAGUGAUUAGGAAGAAGAUGCUGAAGACACUCUACAAGGUGGAUCAGAAUGGAAGUGCUCUUUCAGGCUGCAAAAGUAAAGAUUCCAGCCAGCUACUCUUUGAGAAACCCCUGGCACAUUUACGCCCCAGAGCUGCAAACAACAAACCAGACCU